Long non-coding RNA from Papaver somniferum (opium poppy), 5858 nucleotides. RefSeq lists it as uncharacterized. The transcript is spliced from 2 exons. The record is from RefSeq and is a predicted model, not a curated record. Lineage: Eukaryota; Viridiplantae; Streptophyta; Magnoliopsida; Ranunculales; Papaveraceae.
CUUCUUCCUUAGAGCUCCAUGAGAGCCUCUCCAAUGGAGAUCUUGUAAACACUUCAUAUCAUAAUGAAAUCCUGUGGAUGUAGGUCUCAAGAGACCGAACCACAUAAAAAAAUAUGUCUCCCUUUACUUUCAUGUUCUUUAUCUUUCUUUUAUGUGUUUUGAUGGUUAAGAUCAUCUAGGAUGUAGUAGCAGAAAAUAUGCAACUACAUUUUGACGCUAGAAAUUCGUGAAAGAACAUUAAUACUUCACUACCAGCAAGUUCUGUAAGAGAUCCGGUUGAAAUAAGUGCUUUAAGGGCAUAUUUUUCAAAGAAACAAGAGCUUCGGACAACAAAGUGUCUCGUCUCCGAACAAAUCUUAAGGAAAAGAAAGAGAGAAAAGAGUCUCUACAGCGGAGAGCACGAAGUGAAGAAAAACUUCAACAGCAAUGAAAUCAGCAGAUUUCUCGUCAACAAUCAACUGGGAAUCGAAUAACGAUGGUGAUAGGCGAAGUCGUAUCGGAAUAGCAACAACAAAAAACCACUCUGUGAAGAGAGCUUCAAAGCUGCAUCGCGCUGGCCAAUUGAAGUCGGUCACCAGUUCCUAUCGUCCGAACUCACAUCGGACUGAUUCACAAUCAGGACUACCAUCAGCACAACAACUACUACCUAUCAACACUCUAGCCUGAUUUAGGGCUUUUCUCUUCAAUACCUCUUCGUGCUAACUUACAUAGCAGUUACCGAACGAGUUUAUCGUAUUGUGAUUACUCACUUGAUUGAGUUUCUGUUACAGCAAAACUGGUGAUGGACGAAUUACAUUGGAGCAGUUCACAAUUACAGAUUUACACCAGCAUCGCAACCGUCUCGAGACCAACUCGUGAAGAACCUCCGAUCCAAUCGGACGGACCAACUAUCUCGUACGGCUCAAAUACAGAGCCCCAACCUCUAUCUGCUCGUGAUAAAGCAAUCAACGCGAUGAUGUUCAACUCGAGCUCGUGACAGCGAAAUCGGACUCAACAGUUCAUCUCCGAGCACAAAACUCGGACAGACAAUCAACAGAACAACUAGAGCAUGAACUCGGAUGCCUCAACAUCUUACCCUGACUUGGGCUUAUUUUUUGGAUAUCUUUUCUUACCGUCUUAUCGUGAUUGUUGAACGAGUCUAUUCCAUGUCGUGAUUACUAACUUCAUUGACUUGCUGUUGCAGAAUAAUGAUGAUGGACGAAAUUAUAUCGGACUGAUUCAGCAGCAUCGUGACCACCACGAGGCCAACUCGUGGAGAUACCACCGAUCCAAUCGGAGCAACCAUCUCGUUCAGCUCAACUCAGAGCACCAUAUCGUACCAGAGGCGAUGCGAUAUCGGACAGAUAAUCAACACGAUUGAAGUCGGAUAACCAGAGCAUGAACUCGGACUUACCAAGCCAUCGGACAAGGAGCAUCAACUCAGACUUGUCACCCGACCAAAAACUCGGAUAACAUUCCAUCACACAUCCAUUCCUGAUUUACUUUUCUAAAUUGCAUACAUGACAUGCUAGAUUAGUUAUAGCUAAAUGCUUCGUAUUCAACAACUGAUUGAUAUUUUGAAUAUAGAGAAAUUUAAUACAUUUCAUGUACAGCAGGUGCACGGUAAUACGUUCAACAGAGGGACUCAACUAUUACGCCCAAUGCCUAUCUCAGAUGGUUCAUCCAUGCUCGCCAGGCUUAUCUCGGAGCAACCAUCUCGGACAGAUCCUCGCAAUUAGGAUCGGACAAUCAAAGCUCAAUCCACAUCGGACCAGAAGCGAUGUCGGAUGAGAAAUCAAUAAGCACGAUACGAGCCAACCAGAGCUCGGACUCACCAAGUCAUCGGGCCAGAAGCGAUAUCGGAACAAAGAGAUGUUUAACCGAGCUCGGAUCCAACUCAUAUCAUGACAGUAGUAUCAGACUGGUCACCCGAUCUACUCGGACUCAUAAGUCCAUCUCCGAGGAACAACUCGGAUAACAUACAUUUCUUACCUUAUCUCUUGAUUUAUUUUGAAUUCCUGCAUAUAUAUAUAUAUAUAUAUAUAUAUAUAUAUAACAUGCCAUACUAAACAAUCUUUUGAUUGAUAAUUAGAUAAAUAAUUAAUUCCUAAGUGCUUAAUGCUUUAAAUCAAUAGAAAUUUGAUGCAUUUCAUGACCAACACAAGUACUUGCUAAUAUGCUAUACAAAGAGACUAUGCUACGGCGUCUAUCUUAGAUGGUCAUUUCAAGACCAACAGUCAUAUGCUAUCAAAAGCACUCAUCUCGGAGCGUCCACGAUGAUACAUCCAUGCUCAUAAAGCCUGCCAAGAUAGGAGAAUCACCUCGAGAGCAGCAAACUAAACAGGAGAAAUUCUGUCUUCCUAUCUCUGAAAACUAUUAUGUUGCAUGACUUAUGAAUUAGCCGAAUGCAAUCCAUUAUGUCUCAAUAACAUGUCCAACACACUACGAAAACAAUAUGUUUAGUUGCAGUUUACAAUUACUGUUAACAUCUUUAAUUAUGACAGGACAAUUUGUCUUUAACUUUUUCGAAUGGUUAUUAGCCUUUAAUUGAAAUACACAGGGGUUGGAAUAAAGUCGCCAAUACAAAGAAGCAACUGACAUGAUUCAGUAACACGCUAUCUAGUUCCAAAGAAGGCUAAGUAUCUCUAGUCUCAAAGACCUAACUAUAUAUAUAUACUUUUAUAGUAAAUAAUGAUCUAGAAUCGCAUGACAUCUUACUCUAAGCGACAGGCCUUAUAGCAGGGAUUAGAUAGAAAUCGCUCAGGCGAAUUGAAUGCCUUAGAAGUAAACUUUAGUAUCAUUAUAACAUACUAUAAUUGCUUACCUUUGAAUGAGCAACACCAACUCCUUAAUUAAUGAAGAGUAGUAUGACACUGAUGCAUUUUAUUUCAUUUUCAAUAUGUACAUAUAAGCUCUAAGUAGCCAAUUUCAUAAGAAUGUUUAUAACAAACAUUGAAUUUCAUUUACUCGCAUGAUUAUGUAGUAGUUAAAAGAAUGAUCUUGCUGUAUUCAGUGAUGUUCGAAAAUAAGAACCACACUCAUGUCAUCUAAAAUGCCAUUCAUAAUAAAUUAUCAUGAUAUAAUAUGUUUAAAUGCUUUACAUGCUCAAUGCAUUCAUCUUAGUACGGUCACGACAGUGCAUCCGAGCUCGCCAAGCUCACGAUUUAGCUUGCACAUAAUGUCCAAAGUAGGGGAUGUUCUUAUCUAUUCAUCUCUAAAUUUAUCAUUUUAUACAAAUGAAUUUAAACAUACCUAAUCACUUAUUAGAAGCAUAAUCAUUUAUAAAUAUGCUUUCUUUACUGUUAUUUACCAGUAAUUGGAUUUUACAGGGAAUUUGAGAGGCAAAACAUAACCUCAUUAUAAAGGCUACAAAGCUCAAGGACGAUACAAUCUCCUUCCAUUCCUGCCAACCUAAGGGUGAUCGGGAAGUUUCUAACUCAUCUAUUUACAUUCGAUAAUGAGUAUCAAUAUGCCUAACCAAGGUACAAUUUUGCUUAAAAGCAAGCUAAGAAUAGCUAGUCUCAAAGACUUAAGCCCAUAUAUGUAUCGCACUGGUACUUCCAUAAUCUUUAAGCCGAUAUAUGUAUCGCACUGGUACAUCCAGAACCGAGUGCCACAAUCUAGCGCACCUGCUCCACAACGAGUAUCACAAUAAGUGACAAUGCGAAACCAUAUCGCAUAAAAAUGAGUAGAAAAUGCUUAAAUAGGCUUAACGCUUUAAAACUUAUUGAAUGCUUAAUAAAUUUAAAUGCCUUAACAUUAUGAUGCAUUAACAUUUCAUGUUUUGCAGUAAAUUUUCACAUGGUUGGAGAAUUCAGUUAAGUCGGAUUAAUUAUCCGCAUAAACUAAAGUCGGAUUAGGCAUAAUCCGCAUAAAGGCAUGUCUAUCAUGCAUUAGGAACUAGCAUUAUGCUAGAUAAAGUUAGAGUCAGAUUAAUCUACACAUGGUUGGAGAAUUCAGUUAAGUCGGAUUAAUUAUCCGCAUAAAGUAAAGUCGAAUUAGACAUAAUCCGCAUAAAGGCAUGCCUAUUAUGCAUUAGGAACUAGCAUUAUGCUAGAUAAAGUUAGAGUCAGAUUAGUUGAAAUCUGUAUAAAGGCAUGCUUAUCAUGCAUUAAGGUUAGAGUCGGAUUAGUCGUAAUCCGCAAUAAAGCUAUUGUUGUGUUUGCGUUUUCUUGCAGGUACAUUUGAUGUAUGUAUGGUACAUCUGCUUGUUAUAUAUAUAUAUGUGUUUUCCUGCAGGGUUACUUGGUGUAUCAUACAUACAUCCUCCUCUUGUUCUAUAUGUAUGUGUUUUCUUGCAGGGACAUUGAAUGAAUGUGAUAUAAAUAUCUCCCUCUUGUCAAAUAUGUAUUUUUUGCAGGGUAAUUUAGUCUUAUUAAUAUUAAAUUUGUCCAUCACAGAUGGUAAUAGGGGCAUGAUCCCCAUAUGAGAAAACAUAUUCUCGGGACCAUUAAGAAUGGUAUUGGGUAAACCAAACCCUCGUGCGAGAAAAUAUCUUCUCAAGACCACCACGAUGGUAAUUGGUCUAUGAGCCCCAUAUGAGAAAACCCCUUCUCGAUGCCAUAUGAUUUAUUUUCAUGUGAUUGUUUUAUUAAUUAUUUUGAUCUGUUGAAUGCAUGAAUUAUAUAUGUUUACAGGUUUACCUAGUAUAUUUGUUCCAUUAUGAAUGUUAGUCGGGCUAUAAGCCCCAUAUAAUAAAAUCUCUUCUCAAAGCCAUCACAGAUGGUAAUUGGGGUACAUUCCCUAUGCGAGGAAACAUCUCCUCAAGACCAUCACGAAUGGUAAUUAGGAUACUAGUCCUAUGCGAGGAAAAAUCUCCUCGAGACCAUCAAGACAGAGGAACGACCCCUAUGCGAGGAAACAUCUCCUCAAGACCAUCACGAAUGGUAAGGUGCUAGCCACACCAUUCCAUCCUCAAACAGGAUGAUGCGAGCAAUGCUCAAGCUGCCUGAUACGGAAAAUGACCUAAGGCAAUUCCGUUCGACCGGAUGAUGCGUGGACUCCCUAAGCUAACUGAGACGGAAACAUUGACCUAGGGAAAUGCCAUCUCGACCGCGAGUCAUAUGAUGUCAUGCAUUUCAGGAGGUACCUGUAGUUGACUCACUUUAGGCUGAAAUGCGAAUCGACUAUCAGAGGCAUCUCCCUCACUCUAGUUAGUGCCACGAUCCGACUACGGGGCAGGUGCCUUCCUAAAGAGAACCACGAUAUAUAUAAUUUACGAAUAAAUGUUCAAUAAGGACACAUAUUCGGAAUCAGAAGGAUCUUUUAAAUCCUCUCGACUUGUAUUGUAAGAGGUUAUCUGGCCAAAUGGGAAGCUGAUCACUUCUCGGACUUAUAGCCAAUAACUUGUCCAAAGACGAAAGAGAUACCACUAUGGUCUGACCCUUAUAUAAAAUCGCACACAAGUGCAACAUUAAAACUGUAUCGAGGUUCAAUUACAAUCAUUUCAUUAUGAUUUUGAAUUUGCUUUAUUGCUAAUCUAUCUUAAUUUGAUUUAUGCAGGUACAAGCUACAGGAUGUAGCAACAUAAAUAAUAUUGUCAGAAAAUGGAGUUAGGGGCAAACCUUGACUUUGGCUUUCAAAAUCUAUCAUCUCUUAAGCUUCCAAAAACUAAAGGGGGCAGUGUAUUAUACCCUCAGUACCUUCAAGAAAGGUUUAGAUCCUCAGAUCACAGAUUGAGGCAAACAGUAAGUCCUCGGGGCAAGGCUUCAGAUCACCAUCCGAAGACAUUUUGAGUCCCCACAGAAACAAGCCUCCGAUAUAUCUCGGAGCACAAAAAGAAAGACCUCGGACUACCAUCCGAAGGCACAAUGUACAACUUAAUACCUGAACUACAUACAUAACACUUUUUACACUGGUAAAAAGAUACAGGAUUCAAA